Molecule: long non-coding RNA, 577 nt
Organism: Homo sapiens (human)
Lineage: Eukaryota; Metazoa; Chordata; Mammalia; Primates; Hominidae
Source: Ensembl
GCCGGUCACCACAUUGCAGGCAACGAGAAGAGUUGAGCCCUUCUGGGAGCCCACACCUUGGGGUUCCCCAAGCCAGGGCUGUGACAUGCUGUAACACCCUCUUUGGGACUCUGAGGUUGCUGGCAUCUCUGAGCUUUUGGGUUUUACCACGUUUCCCUUGCCCAGACACUGGUGCCUGCAGAAGCUGGUUGUGGUCCAUCUGGUCCAGCUGCAGCCUUGCACAGAGCCGGUGCCUGUAGCUGCUCACCCUGCUGCAGCAGCUGGUGUGCCUGGCUGGGCGCAGUGGCUGGAACCUGCACUCACUUGCUCACGCACCCCUCACCAGCCCAUGCCUGGCUCACCCUUGGCAGGUGUGGGAUCUGGGCCAGCAGCACAAGAUGAGCACAGCCUACUGGGCAGAGUGGGCAGAAUGAGCCCAGCAGGCAUGAGCAAAACUCCAGCAGAGGCGCUGCAGGCCAUGGAAGUUUCCAGCUGGUGAAGCGACAUCCUAAGAACUUUGUGACACUAUCCUUUCUUCUUGGUUUGCACACAUGGUUGAGGCAUGAAUUUCUAGUAAACUCAUGGUCACCUCCACCUA